AGAACGAACGCUGGCGGCAUGCCUAAUACAUGCAAGUCGAACGAACACUUCGGUGUUAGUGGCGCACGGGUGCGUAACGCGUGGGAAUCUGCCCUUGGGUUCGGAAUAACAGUUGGAAACGACUGCUAAUACCGGAUGAUAUCGAAAGAUCAAAGAUUUAUCGCCCAGGGAUGAGCCCGCGUAGGAUUAGCUAGUUGGUGAGGUAAAGGCUCACCAAGGCGACGAUCCUUAGCUGGUCUGAGAGGAUGAUCAGCCACACUGGGACUGAGACACGGCCCAGACUCCUACGGAGGCAGCAGUGGGAAUAUUGGACAAUGGGACGAAAGCCGUGAUCCGAGCAAUCGCCGCGUGAGUGAUGAAGGCCGUUAGGGUAGUAAGCUCGUUUACCGGAUGAUAAUGACAGUACCGGAGAAGUAGCGUACCGACUAACC
RNAcentral lists this ribosomal RNA (431 nucleotides) under uncultured soil bacterium. Its description in RNAcentral is "bacterial SSU rRNA". It matches the Rfam family "Bacterial small subunit ribosomal RNA", at positions 26 to 502 of the family's 1533-position model. The record is from RNAcentral.